Molecule: small nuclear RNA, 107 nt
Organism: Bison bison bison
Lineage: Eukaryota; Metazoa; Chordata; Mammalia; Artiodactyla; Bovidae
Source: Ensembl
CUCCUCACUUUGGCAGCACAGAUAAUAAAAUUGGAAUGAAACAAAGAAGACAAGCAUGGCCACUGUGCAAGGAUGGCAUGCAAACUUGUAAAGCAUUCUGUAUUAAA